AACGAACGCUGGCGGCAGGCCUAACACAUGCAAGUCGAGCGAGGACUUCGGUCCUAGCGGCGGACGGGUGAGUAACGCGUGGGAACGUGCCCUUUGCUUCGGAAUAGCCCUGGGAAACGGGGAGUAAUACCGGAUGAGCCCUUUGGGGGAAAGAUUUAUCGGCGAAGGAUCGGCCCGCGUUGGAUUAGGUAGUUGGUGGGGUAAUGGCCUACCAAGCCGACGAUCCAUAGCUGGUUUGAGAGGAUGAUCAGCCACACUGGGACUGAGACACGGCCCAGACUCCUACGGGAGGCAGCAGUGGGGAAUCUUAGACAAUGGGGGAAACCCUGAUCUAGCCAUGCCGCGUGAGCGAUGAAGGCCUUAGGGUUGUAAAGCUCUUUCAGCUGGGAAGAUAAUGACGGUACCAGCAGAAGAAGCCCCGGCUAACUCCGUG
RNAcentral lists this ribosomal RNA (433 nucleotides) under uncultured bacterium. Its description in RNAcentral is "partial 16S ribosomal RNA". It matches the Rfam family "Bacterial small subunit ribosomal RNA", at positions 29 to 507 of the family's 1533-position model. The record is from RNAcentral.